GGUUAGGGUUAGGGUUAGGGUUAGGGUUAGGGGUUAGGGUUAGGGUUAGGGUUAGGGUUAGGGUUAGGGUUAGGGUUAGGGUUAGGGUUAGGGUUAGGGUUAGGGUUAGGGUUAGGGUUAGGGUUAGGGUUAGGGUUAGGGUUAGGGUUAUGGUCUAUGGUUAUGGUUAGGGUUAGGAUCGGGUUAGGGUUAGGGUUAGGGUUAGGGUUAGGGUUAGGGUUAGGGUUAGGGUUAGGGUUAGGGUUAGGGUUAGGGUUAGGGUUAGGGUUAGGGUUAGGGUUAGGGUUAGGGUUAGGGUUAGGGUUAGGGGUUAGGGUUAGGGUUAGGGUUAGGGUUAGGGUUAGGGUUAGGGUUAGGGGAUUAGGGUUAGGGUUAGGGUUAGGGUAAGGGUUAGGGUUAGGGUUAGGGUUAGGGUUAGGGUUAGGGUUAGGGUUAGGGUUAGGGUUAGGGUUAGGGUUAGGGUUAGGGUUAGGGUUAGGGUUAGGGGUUAGGGUUAGGGUUAGGGUUAGGAUAUAGGGAUAUGUGCCACUUUUGACAUGCCGGUUCAUUGCCUUUCCCAAUGAUGAACCGGGCUGAGAUUUGGUCUACCCCCCCAUUUUCGGGUAUGCUGAAUCUAGAAAUAGUAAUGAACCAGCGAUCGGACAUUCCUAUCAAAAGUUAUGGCGAAGUGAAAAUUUCCCAUUGAAAAUGAAUGGGAGCGGGAAAAUGGCCAAAGUCAGUGUUUGCAAGUGUUCUACUUGUCUGGAAAUGUUGAAAAUGCAUUGUGAGCACGUUUCAGGCCAUUUCCUGUCAUUUGAGGGCGACUUUGCAAAAAGGGGUGUCCUACCGCUUUUGACCAGAGGUGGCGCUGCACAUGUCCGACGGUUAGGGUUAGGGUGAGACUUUGGGCAAGGGGUUAGGGUUAGGGCUGGAGCUAUGGUUAGGGUUAGUGGUGGAGCUAGGGUUGGAGCUAGGGUUAGGGUUAGGGUUGGAGCUAGGGUUAGGGUUAGGGUUAGGAAAAUGUGAAGAUUUUCCCAAAAUCUGAAGAUUUUCCUAAGUGCGGACCCAAUUUUUCACCUUCCAGAAUUGUGUUAGGAGCACGUUUCAGGCCACGGGGAGUCCAUAGAACCUGAUUGUGGGUGAAGUUUUCGGGGGUUGGAGCUUUGGGGCAGGAUAUAGGGAUAUGUGCCACUUUUGACAUGCCGGUUCAUUGCCUUUCCCAAUGAUGAACCGGGCUGAGAUUUGGUCUACCCCCCCAUUUUCGGGUAUGCUGAAUCUAGAAAUAGUAAUGAACCAGCGAUCGGACAUUCCUAUCAAAAGUUAUGGCGAAGUGAAAAUUUCCCAUUGAAGAUGAAUGGGAGCGGAAAAAUGGCCAAAGUCAGUGUUUGCAAGUGUUCUACUUGUCUGGAAAUGUUGAAAAUGCAUUGUGAGCACGUUUCAGGCCAUUUCCUGUCAUUUGAGGGCGACUUUGCAAAAAGGGGUGUCCUACCGCUUUUGACCAGAGGUGGCGCUGCACAUGUCCGACGGUUAGGGUUAGGGUGAGACUUUGGGCAAGGGGUUAGGGUUAGGGCUGGAGCUAUGGUUAGGGUUAGUUGUGGAGCUAGGGUUGGAGCUAGGGUUAGGGUUAGGGUUGGAGCUAGGGUUAGGGUUAGGGUUAGGAAAAUGUGAAGAUUUUCCCAAAAUCUGAAGAUUUUCCUAAGUGCGGACCCAAUUUUUCACCUUCCAGAAUUGUGUUAGGAGCACGUUUCAGGCCACGGGGAGUCCAUAGAACCUGAUUGUGGGUGAAGUUUUCGGGGGUUGGAGCUUUGGGGCAGGAUAUAGGGAUAUGUGCCACUUUUGACAUGCCGGUUCAUUGCCUUUCCCAAUGAUGAACCGGGCUGAGAUUUGGUCUACCCCCCAUUUUCGGGUAUGCUGAAUCUAGAAAUAGUAAUGAACCAGCGAUCGGACAUUCCUAUCAAAAGUUAUGGCGAAGUGAAAAUUUCCCAUUGAAGAUGAAUGGGAGCGGAAAAAUGGCCAAAGUCAGUGUUUGCAAGUGUUCUACUUGUCUGGAAAUGUUGAAAAUGCAUUGUGAGCACGUUUCAGGCCAUUUCCUGUCAUUUGAGGGCGACUUUGCAAAAAGGGGUGUCCUACCGCUUUUGACCAGAGGUGGCGCUGCACAUGUCCGACGGUUAGGGUUAGGGUGAGACUUUGGGCAAGGGGUUAGGGUUAGGGCUGGAGCUAUGGUUAGGGUUAGUUGUGGAGCUAGGGUUGGAGCUAGGGUUAGGGUUAGGGUUGGAGCUAGGGUUAGGGUUAGGGUUAGGAAAAUGUGAAGAUUUUCCCAAAAUCUGAAGAUUUUCCUAAGUGCGGACCCAAUUUUUCACCUUCCAGAAUUGUGUUAGGAGCACGUUUCAGGCCACGGGGAGUCCAUAGAACCUGAUUGUGGGUGAAGUUUUCGGGGGUUGGAGCUUUGGGGCAGGAUAUAGGGAUAUGUGCCACUUUUGACAUGCCGGUUCAUUGCCUUUCCCAAUGAUGAACCGGGCUGAGAUUUGGUCUACCCCCCCAUUUUCGGGUAUGCUGAAUCUAGAAAUAGUAAUGAACCAGCGAUCGGACAUUCCUAUCAAAAGUUAUGGCGAAGUGAAAAUUUCCCAUUGAAGAUGAAUGGGAGCGGAAAAAUGGCCAAAGUCAGUGUUUGCAAGUGUUCUACUUGUCUGGAAAUGUUGAAAAUGCAUUGUGAGCACGUUUCAGGCCAUUUCCUGUCAUUUGAGGGCGACUUUGCAAAAGGGGUGUCCUACCGCUUUUGACCAGAGGUGGCGCUGCACAUGUCCGACGGUUAGGGUUAGGGUGAGACUUUGGGCAAGGGGUUAGGGUUAGGGCUGGAGCUAUGGUUAGGGUUAGUUGUGGAGCUAGGGUUGGAGCUAGGGUUAGGGUUAGGGUUGGAGCUAGGGUUAGGGUUAGGGUUAGGAAAAUGUGAAGAUUUUCCCAAAAUCUGAAGAUUUUCCUAAGUGCGGACCCAAUUUUUCACCUUCCAGAAUUGUGUUAGGAGCACGUUUCAGGCCACGGGGAGUCCAUAGAACCUGAUUGUGGGUGAAGUUUUCGGGGGUUGGAGCUUUGGGGCAGGAUAUAGGGAUAUGUGCCACUUUUGACAUGCCGGUUCAUUGCCUUUCCCAAUGAUGAACCGGGCUGAGAUUUGGUCUACCCCCCCAUUUUCGGGUAUGCUGAAUCUAGAAAUAGUAAUGAACCAGCGAUCGGACAUUCCUAUCAAAAGUUAUGGCGAAGUGAAAAUUUCCCAUUGAAGAUGAAUGGGAGCGGAAAAAUGGCCAAAGUCAGUGUUUGCAAGUGUUCUACUUGUCUGGAAAUGUUGAAAAUGCAUUGUGAGCACGUUUCAGGCCAUUUCCUGUCAUUUGAGGGCGACUUUGCAAAAAGGGGUGUCCUACCGCUUUUGACCAGAGGUGGCGCUGCACAUGUCCGACGGUUAGGGUUAGGGUGAGACUUUGGGCAAGGGGUUAGGGUUAGGGCUGGAGCUAUGGUUAGGGUUAGUUGUGGAGCUAGGGUUGGAGCUAGGGUUAGGGUUAGGGUUGGAGCUAGGGUUAGGGUUAGGGUUAGGAAAAUGUGAAGAUUUUCCCAAAAUCUGAAGAUUUUCCUAAGUGCGGACCCAAUUUUUCACCUUCCAGAAUUGUGUUAGGAGCACGUUUCAGGCCACGGGGAGUCCAUAGAACCUGAUUGUGGGUGAAGUUUUCGGGGGUUGGAGCUUUGGGGCAGGAUAUAGGGAUAUGUGCCACUUUUGACAUGCCGGUUCAUUGCCUUUCCCAAUGAUGAACCGGGCUGAGAUUUGGUCUACCCCCCCAUUUUCGGGUAUGCUGAAUCUAGAAAUAGUAAUGAACCAGCGAUCGGACAUUCCUAUCAAAAGUUAUGGCGAAGUGAAAAUUUCCCAUUGAAGAUGAAUGGGAGCGGAAAAAUGGCCAAAGUCAGUGUUUGCAAGUGUUCUACUUGUCUGGAAAUGUUGAAAAUGCAUUGUGAGCACGUUUCAGGCCAUUUCCUGUCAUUUGAGGGCGACUUUGCAAAAAGGGGUGUCCUACCGCUUUUGACCAGAGGUGGCGCUGCACAUGUCCGACGGUUAGGGUUAGGGUGAGACUUUGGGCAAGGGGUUAGGGUUAGGGCUGGAGCUAUGGUUAGGGUUAGUUGUGGAGCUAGGGUUGGAGCUAGGGUUAGGGUUAGGGUUGGAGCUAGGGUUAGGGUUAGGGUUAGGAAAAUGUGAAGAUUUUCCCAAAAUCUGAAGAUUUUCCUAAGUGCGGACCCAAUUUUUCACCUUCCAGAAUUGUGUUAGGAGCACGUUUCAGGCCACGGGGAGUCCAUAGAACCUGAUUGUGGGUGAAGUUUUCGGGGGUUGGAGCUUUGGGGCAGGAUAUAGGGAUAUGUGCCACUUUUGACAUGCCGGUUCAUUGCCUUUCCCAAUGAUGAACCGGGCUGAGAUUUGGUCUACCCCCCCAUUUUCGGGUAUGCUGAAUCUAGAAAUAGUAAUGAACCAGCGAUCGGACAUUCCUAUCAAAAGUUAUGGCGAAGUGAAAAUUUCCCAUUGAAGAUGAAUGGGAGCGGAAAAAUGGCCAAAGUCAGUGUUUGCAAGUGUUCUACUUGUCUGGAAAUGUUGAAAAUGCAUUGUGAGCACGUUUCAGGCCAUUUCCUGUCAUUUGAGGGCGACUUUGCAAAAGGGGUGUCCUACCGCUUUUGACCAGAGGUGGCGCUGCACAUGUCCGACGGUUAGGGUUAGGGUGAGACUUUGGGCAAGGGGUUAGGGUUAGGGCUGGAGCUAUGGUUAGGGUUAGUUGUGGAGCUAGGGUUGGAGCUAGGGUUAGGGUUAGGGUUGGAGCUAGGGUUAGGGUUAGGGUUAGGAAAAUGUGAAGAUUUUCCCAAAAUCUGAAGAUUUUCCUAAGUGCGGACCCAAUUUUUCACCUUCCAGAAUUGUGUUAGGAGCACGUUUCAGGCCACGGGGAGUCCAUAGAACCUGAUUGUGGGUGAAGUUUUCGGGGGUUGGAGCUUUGGGGCAGGAUAUAGGGAUAUGUGCCACUUUUGACAUGCCGGUUCAUUGCCUUUCCCAAUGAUGAACCGGGCUGAGAUUUGGUCUACCCCCCCAUUUUCGGGUAUGCUGAAUCUAGAAAUAGUAAUGAACCAGCGAUCGGACAUUCCUAUCAAAAGUUAUGGCGAAGUGAAAAUUUCCCAUUGAAGAUGAAUGGGAGCGGAAAAAUGGCCAAAGUCAGUGUUUGCAAGUGUUCUACUUGUCUGGAAAUGUUGAAAAUGCAUUGUGAGCACGUUUCAGGCCAUUUCCUGUCAUUUGAGGGCGACUUUGCAAAAAGGGGUGUCCUACCGCUUUUGACCAGAGGUGGCGCUGCACAUGUCCGACGGUUAGGGUUAGGGUGAGACUUUGGGCAAGGGGUUAGGGUUAGGGCUGGAGCUAUGGUUAGGGUUAGUUGUGGAGCUAGGGUUGGAGCUAGGGUUAGGGUUAGGGUUGGAGCUAGGGUUAGGGUUAGGGUUAGGAAAAUGUGAAGAUUUUCCCAAAAUCUGAAGAUUUUCCUAAGUGCGGACCCAAUUUUUCACCUUCCAGAAUUGUGUUAGGAGCACGUUUCAGGCCACGGGGAGUCCAUAGAACCUGAUUGUGGGUGAAGUUUUCGGGGGUUGGAGCUUUGGGGCAGGAUAUAGGGAUAUGUGCCACUUUUGACAUGCCGGUUCAUUGCCUUUCCCAAUGAUGAACCGGGCUGAGAUUUGGUCUACCCCCCAUUUUCGGGUAUGCUGAAUCUAGAAAUAGUAAUGAACCAGCGAUCGGACAUUCCUAUCAAAAGUUAUGGCGAAGUGAAAAUUUCCCAUUGAAGAUGAAUGGGAGCGGAAAAAUGGCCAAAGUCAGUGUUUGCAAGUGUUCUACUUGUCUGGAAAUGUUGAAAAUGCAUUGUGAGCACGUUUCAGGCCAUUUCCUGUCAUUUGAGGGCGACUUUGCAAAAAGGGGUGUCCUACCGCUUUUGACCAGAGGUGGCGCUGCACAUGUCCGACGGUUAGGGUUAGGGUGAGACUUUGGGCAAGGGGUUAGGGUUAGGGCUGGAGCUAUGGUUAGGGUUAGUUGUGGAGCUAGGGUUGGAGCUAGGGUUAGGGUUAGGGUUGGAGCUAGGGUUAGGGUUAGGGUUAGGAAAAUGUGAAGAUUUUCCCAAAAUCUGAAGAUUUUCCUAAGUGCGGACCCAAUUUUUCACCUUCCAGAAUUGUGUUAGGAGCACGUUUCAGGCCACGGGGAGUCCAUAGAACCUGAUUGUGGGUGAAGUUUUCGGGGGUUGGAGCUUUGGGGCAGGAUAUAGGGAUAUGUGCCACUUUUGACAUGCCGGUUCAUUGCCUUUCCCAAUGAUGAACCGGGCUGAGAUUUGGUCUACCCCCCCAUUUUCGGGUAUGCUGAAUCUAGAAAUAGUAAUGAACCAGCGAUCGGACAUUCCUAUCAAAAGUUAUGGCGAAGUGAAAAUUUCCCAUUGAAGAUGAAUGGGAGCGGAAAAAUGGCCAAAGUCAGUGUUUGCAAGUGUUCUACUUGUCUGGAAAUGUUGAAAAUGCAUUGUGAGCACGUUUCAGGCCAUUUCCUGUCAUUUGAGGGCGACUUUGCAAAAGGGGUGUCCUACCGCUUUUGACCAGAGGUGGCGCUGCACAUGUCCGACGGUUAGGGUUAGGGUGAGACUUUGGGCAAGGGGUUAGGGUUAGGGCUGGAGCUAUGGUUAGGGUUAGUUGUGGAGCUAGGGUUGGAGCUAGGGUUAGGGUUAGGGUUGGAGCUAGGGUUAGGGUUAGGGUUAGGAAAAUGUGAAGAUUUUCCCAAAAUCUGAAGAUUUUCCUAAGUGCGGACCCAAUUUUUCACCUUCCAGAAUUGUGUUAGGAGCACGUUUCAGGCCACGGGGAGUCCAUAGAACCUGAUUGUGGGUGAAGUUUUCGGGGGUUGGAGCUUUGGGGCAGGAUAUAGGGAUAUGUGCCACUUUUGACAUGCCGGUUCAUUGCCUUUCCCAAUGAUGAACCGGGCUGAGAUUUGGUCUACCCCCCAUUUUCGGGUAUGCUGAAUCUAGAAAUAGUAAUGAACCAGCGAUCGGACAUUCCUAUCAAAAGUUAUGGCGAAGUGAAAAUUUCCCAUUGAAGAUGAAUGGGAGCGGAAAAAUGGCCAAAGUCAGUGUUUGCAAGUGUUCUACUUGUCUGGAAAUGUUGAAAAUGCAUUGUGAGCACGUUUCAGGCCAUUUCCUGUCAUUUGAGGGCGACUUUGCAAAAAGGGGUGUCCUACCGCUUUUGACCAGAGGUGGCGCUGCACAUGUCCGACGGUUAGGGUUAGGGUGAGACUUUGGGCAAGGGGUUAGGGUUAGGGCUGGAGCUAUGGUUAGGGUUAGUUGUGGAGCUAGGGUUGGAGCUAGGGUUAGGGUUAGGGUUGGAGCUAGGGUUAGGGUUAGGGUUAGGAAAAUGUGAAGAUUUUCCCAAAAUCUGAAGAUUUUCCUAAGUGCGGACCCAAUUUUUCACCUUCCAGAAUUGUGUUAGGAGCACGUUUCAGGCCACGGGGAGUCCAUAGAACCUGAUUGUGGGUGAAGUUUUCGGGGGUUGGAGCUUUGGGGCAGGAUAUAGGGAUAUGUGCCACUUUUGACAUGCCGGUUCAUUGCCUUUCCCAAUGAUGAACCGGGCUGAGAUUUGGUCUACCCCCCAUUUUCGGGUAUGCUGAAUCUAGAAAUAGUAAUGAACCAGCGAUCGGACAUUCCUAUCAAAAGUUAUGGCGAAGUGAAAAUUUCCCAUUGAAGAUGAAUGGGAGCGGAAAAAUGGCCAAAGUCAGUGUUUGCAAGUGUUCUACUUGUCUGGAAAUGUUGAAAAUGCAUUGUGAGCACGUUUCAGGCCAUUUCCUGUCAUUUGAGGGCGACUUUGCAAAAAGGGGUGUCCUACCGCUUUUGACCAGAGGUGGCGCUGCACAUGUCCGACGGUUAGGGUUAGGGUGAGACUUUGGGCAAGGGGUUAGGGUUAGGGCUGGAGCUAUGGUUAGGGUUAGUUGUGGAGCUAGGGUUGGAGCUAGGGUUAGGGUUAGGGUUGGAGCUAGGGUUAGGGUUAGGGUUAGGAAAAUGUGAAGAUUUUCCCAAAAUCUGAAGAUUUUCCUAAGUGCGGACCCAAUUUUUCACCUUCCAGAAUUGUGUUAGGAGCACGUUUCAGGCCACGGGGAGUCCAUAGAACCUGAUUGUGGGUGAAGUUUUCGGGGGUUGGAGCUUUGGGGCAGGAUAUAGGGAUAUGUGCCACUUUUGACAUGCCGGUUCAUUGCCUUUCCCAAUGAUGAACCGGGCUGAGAUUUGGUCUACCCCCCAUUUUCGGGUAUGCUGAAUCUAGAAAUAGUAAUGAACCAGCGAUCGGACAUUCCUAUCAAAAGUUAUGGCGAAGUGAAAAUUUCCCAUUGAAGAUGAAUGGGAGCGGAAAAAUGGCCAAAGUCAGUGUUUGCAAGUGUUCUACUUGUCUGGAAAUGUUGAAAAUGCAUUGUGAGCACGUUUCAGGCCAUUUCCUGUCAUUUGAGGGCGACUUUGCAAAAGGGGUGUCCUACCGCUUUUGACCAGAGGUGGCGCUGCACAUGUCCGACGGUUAGGGUUAGGGUGAGACUUUGGGCAAGGGGUUAGGGUUAGGGCUGGAGCUAUGGUUAGGGUUAGUUGUGGAGCUAGGGUUGGAGCUAGGGUUAGGGUUAGGGUUGGAGCUAGGGUUAGGGUUAGGGUUAGGAAAAUGUGAAGAUUUUCCCAAAAUCUGAAGAUUUUCCUAAGUGCGGACCCAAUUUUUCACCUUCCAGAAUUGUGUUAGGAGCACGUUUCAGGCCACGGGGAGUCCAUAGAACCUGAUUGUGGGUGAAGUUUUCGGGGGUUGGAGCUUUGGGGCAGGAUAUAGGGAUAUGUGCCACUUUUGACAUGCCGGUUCAUUGCCUUUCCCAAUGAUGAACCGGGCUGAGAUUUGGUCUACCCCCCAUUUUCGGGUAUGCUGAAUCUAGAAAUAGUAAUGAACCAGCGAUCGGACAUUCCUAUCAAAAGUUAUGGCGAAGUGAAAAUUUCCCAUUGAAGAUGAAUGGGAGCGGAAAAAUGGCCAAAGUCAGUGUUUGCAAGUGUUCUACUUGUCUGGAAAUGUUGAAAAUGCAUUGUGAGCACGUUUCAGGCCAUUUCCUGUCAUUUGAGGGCGACUUUGCAAAAAGGGGUGUCCUACCGCUUUUGACCAGAGGUGGCGCUGCACAUGUCCGACGGUUAGGGUUAGGGUGAGACUUUGGGCAAGGGGUUAGGGUUAGGGCUGGAGCUAUGGUUAGGGUUAGUUGUGGAGCUAGGGUUGGAGCUAGGGUUAGGGUUAGGGUUAGGGUUAGGGUUAGGGUUAGGGUUAGGGUUAGGGUUAGGGUUAGGGUUAGGGUUAGGGUUAGGGUUAGGGUUAGGGUUAGGGUUAGGGUUAGGGUUAGGGUUAGGGUUAGGGUUAGGGUUAGGGUUAGGGUUAGGGUUAGGGUUAGGGUUAGGGUUAGGGUUAGGGUUAGGGUUAGGGUUAGGGUUAGGGUUAGGGUUAGGGUUAGGGUU
This 9515-nucleotide long non-coding RNA is filed under the name Xyrichtys novacula (pearly razorfish). Lineage: Eukaryota; Metazoa; Chordata; Actinopteri; Labriformes; Labridae. The record is from RNAcentral.